AACCUCAAAAUAGUAAACCCUAACUGUUCACACAUGGUUGAAGUGAGGUGAAAGAAGAAAUCUUAAAGCUCUGGACCACACAUUUUGAGGAGAAGAUUAUAAAACUUGAGACCACAACACUAACAAUAUUGAAGCAUUGGGCCACCUUCAACUUGGAUUUUGAAACAUUUGGUCUCUACAUAAAGGUAUUUUCUUUUCUUUUGUUUAAUCAUGUUUGUGAACAUUGCUUCUUUCUCUAUGUCGAAGGGAGACCAUCUUUCUUCGGUGAUUUUUUUCUUUUUACUUUUAUUUUCUAGAGUUUUUUGUCUUCCCUUUUAAUGAGAGGUAUUAUAUCCAUCUAGAUCUAAGAUUUAUGAUUGUUUCUCUCUACCCAAAUCUCAUUUUGUAGUGGUUUAUAUAGUCGAUUUGUAGUGGCUUUAGUUUAUUUUAGUUGUUAUGUUGUGGUUUGAUUCUAAAUUUCAAUCUUUCAUAGUUCGGAUCCAAAAAGUCUUAAGCUGAAAAAUUUUGAUCUUUGCGAAGGAUCCACUUUUGUACUGAUCGGAAGAGUUAAAAUUUGGUGAUAGAGAGAAAUUAAAAAGAGCUGAGAAGGCAUAUCUCAUAUAGCUCUAGGUUAUUGUGCACAUUAUUAUGGAGAUGCCCUGUAUAGAUAUCUCUUGUAAACUUAAUUCAUCUUGUUCUCCAGUGUGCAAGCAAAGGCUUCAUCAAUUAUGUAUUGUAAGGGUUUCUAUAAAUUGAGAUCUAAAUCAAUAAAAUGAUCUCUUGUUGUAUUUUUUGUACUCUUAUUAUGUUGGUUAAUAAAAUCUAUGUUUGUGUUUCAAGAAAAAAAAAAUCAUGCUUGUGAAAGAAGGUGAUAGAUUGUCAGUUCGUGGGUGGUCUACAUGUGCUUUUUUUUUUCUAUAUUUAAUUUAUUCAUGUUUAAAUAAUAGAUAUUGAAAAUAUGGCUGAACACUAAAGUUAUUAUAUUUUAUGAAGGAGUUCGUAACGUUUAUAUGCACAUAUUUUAAAGAAGAUACAAAUACCAAAAUAUUUUUUCAUAUGCUUAACAUUUAAUGCAAAUGCUUAACACGGUAGCUAUCGAUUUUUUGUGCUUUAGUCUCUGACACUUCGUGUCCGUCUAGUUUCGAUCUAUUUGUUAUGUGCUUUAGUAAAUUGAUGUUUUAUUAAUAUGAUUCAACUAGGAUAAUAAUAUUGAGGUCCUAUAUUUUACUUUUUCUCAAAUUAGGACAUAGACAAUCAUGAAGAGAUUAUGUGAAAUAUUUUAGUAUGAUAUAUUUAUAUUUUAAAUUCGGAAUCUUGGAUGUCUACGAAUCAAAGGUCAAAAGAUCAUGAGGUUGGUGUUGGAAGACUUCUAAAUUUUGCAGUGAUUUAUGCAAAGAAUUCUAAUCACAUACUAUGUCCAUGUAUGAAAUUGGAAAUGCAAAACAUUAGAUUGUUGAUGAGAUAAGGGAUCAUUUGUAUUUGAAAAGUAUAGAUGAAAGUUAUAGUAAUUGGAUUUUGCAUGGAGAAAAAUACGGUAGUCAUUUACUUAUCCUUUUAAAAUUAAUAGAUUUGAGAACAUUGAUGCAUGUAUGAAUAUUGACUAUUUUGUAUAUGAUUUAAGUUUUUUGGACAAGACAGUUACACUCAAAAGGAUAUUGAUGAAGUAAGAAAGUAGGUAGAGCACAUAUGGCAUAAUAUUCUUUGCUAAAUUUUGUAACACAAUGACUUUGCGAGGUUAGUAAUAAACAGAAUUAUCUUUUAUCUAUAUCUUUCUUGUUGUCUUUGUUUUGAAUAAGACACUAAAAGGAUUUAUAAAAUUAUUUUCUUAUUGUAGUCAAGGAAGGCUUGUAAAAAAGGUUGCACUCUACAACUCUUUGUGGCUUCGGCAUGAUUAUUGGAGUAGCCAGUAGGAUUGUCACAUUUUGUUGAUCUUGUGAGGAAUGUAAUACUUUUCUUUUAAGAAAAAAGAUUUAUGGAUAUCUAGUUACUUUAAUUUGGGAAUUGUAAACACAAUAUUUUUUAGUAUUGUUUGUAAUGUACCAAUCUAUACAUGAUUAAUACAAUUGCUUGAUGAAU
This 2055-nucleotide long non-coding RNA is filed under the name Citrus sinensis (sweet orange). RNAcentral's name for it is "long non-coding RNA (CSIN_LNC005265)". Lineage: Eukaryota; Viridiplantae; Streptophyta; Magnoliopsida; Sapindales; Rutaceae. The record is from RNAcentral.